RNAcentral lists this small nuclear RNA (140 nucleotides) under Fukomys damarensis (Damara mole-rat). RNAcentral describes it as "U2 spliceosomal RNA". It matches the Rfam family "U2 spliceosomal RNA". From Rfam's summary of the family: U2 is a small nuclear RNA (snRNA) component of the spliceosome (involved in pre-mRNA splicing). Complementary binding between U2 snRNA (in an area lying towards the 5' end but 3' to hairpin I) and the branchpoint sequence (BPS) of the intron results the bulging out of an unpaired adenosine, on the BPS, which initiates a nucleophilic attack at the intronic 5' splice site, thus starting the first of two transesterification reactions that mediate splicing. The record is from Rfam by way of RNAcentral. Lineage: Eukaryota; Metazoa; Chordata; Mammalia; Rodentia; Bathyergidae.
AUCGCUUCUCGGCCUUUUGGCUAAGAUCAAGUGUAGAGGGAGUUCUUUGCCUUUUGAAAAUUUUAAUAAGAAUUUUAUGUUAUAACAUAUGAAAGUUUCAACAUAGCAUUGAAUCAUAAAACAAGAGUGGAGCUCACUUC